GACGACGCUGGCGGCGUGGAUUAGGCAUGCAAGUCGAACGGUAUCAUCCUUUCGGGGGUGAGGAGAGUGGCGAACUGGUGAGUAACACGUAGGUUAUCUACCCUCAAGACGGGACAACCCAGGGAAACUUGGGCUAAUACCGGAUGUGAGCAACUUUUAGUUGUUUGAAAGGUGGCGUAAGCUGUCGCUUGGGGAUGAGCCUGCGUCCUAUUAGUUAGUUGGUGAGGUAACGGCUCACCUAGGCAAUGAUAGGUAGGCGGCCUUAACGGGUGGUCGCCCACACUGGGAUUGAGAUACGGCCCAGACUCCUACGGGAGGCAGCAGUCGAGAAUAGUCUACAAUGGUCGGAAGACUGAUAGUGCGACGCCGCGUGAACGAUGAAUCCCUUCGGGGUGUAAAGUUCUUUUAUAUGUGAGCAGUGCUUCUUAUAUUAACAGUAUGGGGAGAGAGAUAUUAGCAUAUGAAUAAGCAACGGCUAACUCCGUG
RNAcentral lists this ribosomal RNA (486 nucleotides) under uncultured bacterium. RNAcentral describes it as "bacterial SSU rRNA". It matches the Rfam family "Bacterial small subunit ribosomal RNA", at positions 33 to 507 of the family's 1533-position model. The record is from RNAcentral.